ACCGGCGCACGGGUGCGUAACGCGUAUACAUCUACCUUUUGCUGAGGGAUAGCCUUUGGAAACGAAGAUUAAUACCUCAUAGUUUCACCUGAAUAAAGGUUACGGCAAAAGAUGAGUAUGCGUUCUAUUAGCUAGAUGGUGUGGUAACGGCACACCAUGGCAACGAUAGAUAGGGGCCCUGAGAGGGGGAUCCCCCACACUGGUACUGAGACACGGACCAGACUCCUACGGGAGGCAGCAGUGAGGAAUAUUGGACAAUGGAGGCAACUCUGAUCCAGCCAUGCCGCGUGCAGGAAGACUGCCUAUGGGUUGUAAACUGCUUUUAUACAGGAAGAAACCGCUCUACGUGUAGAGCCUUGACGGUACUGUAAGAAUAAGGAUCGGCUAACUCCGUGCCAGCAGCCGCGGUAAUACGGAGGAUCCAAGCGUUAUCCGGAAUCAUUGGGUUUAAAGGGUCCGUAGGUGGAUAAUUAAGUCAGAGGUGAAAUCCUGCAGCUCAACUGUAGAAUUGCCUUUGAUACUGGUUAUCUUGAGUUAUUGUGAAGUAGUUAGAAUAUGUAGUGUAGCGGUGAAAUGCAUAGAUAUUACAUAGAAUACCCAUUGCGAAGGCGGAUUAACUACAUAAUACUGACACUGAUGGACGAAGCGUGAGAAGCGACAGAUUAGAUACCUUGGUAGUUC
This 681-nucleotide ribosomal RNA is filed under the name uncultured bacterium. RNAcentral describes it as "bacterial SSU rRNA". It matches the Rfam family "Bacterial small subunit ribosomal RNA", at positions 94 to 796 of the family's 1533-position model. The record is from RNAcentral.